RNAcentral lists this ribosomal RNA (406 nucleotides) under Leptobrachella minima. Its description in RNAcentral is "Leptolalax minimus partial 16S ribosomal RNA". It matches the Rfam family "Bacterial large subunit ribosomal RNA", at positions 1835 to 2391 of the family's 2925-position model. The record is from RNAcentral. Lineage: Eukaryota; Metazoa; Chordata; Amphibia; Anura; Megophryidae.
UCUGUACAUUAUAGAAGGUAACGCCUGCCCAGUGACUAUGUGUUAAACGGCCGCGGUAUACUGACCGUGCAAAGGUAGCGUAAUCACUUGUCUUUUAAAUGAAGACUAGUAUGAAUGGCAUCACGAGAACUAAUCUGUCUCCCUCCCCUAAUCAGUGAAACUGAUCUCCCCGUGCAGAAGCGGGGAUAAUAUCAUAAGACGAGAAGACCCUGUGGAGCUUAAAAUCAAAAAUCAACUGCUUCUCCCACCUAUACUAAAGAAACAUUUUCCGCAAGCCUGAUUUAGAUUUUCAGCUGGGGCGGCUGUGGAGAAAAAUAAAUCCUCCACGAAUAUUUAUGCUGAAAGCCACCGCGAUAGGCAUUAAUAAACUUAAUUUUAAUUGACCCAAUUUUUGAUCAACGAACCA